This is a non-coding RNA of Coturnix japonica (Japanese quail), 1459 nucleotides long. The record is from RefSeq and is a predicted model, not a curated record. Lineage: Eukaryota; Metazoa; Chordata; Aves; Galliformes; Phasianidae.
GUGCUGCUCAGCUUUCCCCAGGUGUGAGCCAGUGCCCUAUUGAUUUCCAGUCAGAUCUCCGUGGCUGCGCUAGGAAAGAGUUAUGGAGCAUUGUGUCCACCAAGUGCAGUGCUGCAGCAGCUCUGGUCCAUCUUUUCCAGCCCUCAGCAUGGAGUCCCAGCCCUGCCCUGCCCACUAACAGGGCAAGGGCAGAAGCAGGAGCACCAUCAGGGCUCUGAUGUGCAGGAGAUGCUCUCAGGAGAACAGAGCUGGAAUGUGCCCUGGCACUGCGAGGAUCCUUGUUAGUGGUACCACUGGAGGAAGAGCAGUAAUUAUUCCUAAAAUCUAGGCUGUGGAGUGUUCUGGAAGAGAAGAGAGUAUACACUUGCUCUCCUGAGUACGAGAAAAUUGAAUUGCUUGGAAAGCACUGGGAUGUCACUGUUUUCUGCCGCAUGUAAAGCUGAUCUGCAAGGCCUCUCUGGAGAGCCUGCAUGGAUAAUUGCCUCGCUAAUGAAGGUGGGAUUCCAGCUCAGGACCUUUCUGUGGGACCCAAGGAUGUCAUACAUCCAUUCCCACAGUCAAAGGGGAUCACUCUGGAGCUUCUCCCAUGCAGGGCUCUGACCUCUCUUUGUUUCUCACCCCUAAAAAGGGGGCAAGUGACCUCAGAAAUGGAGGGACUUCCAAAAGAUGAAUGUUGGGAUUUGCCAGUUUUAGCUGCUGGGGACUCAAGAUGGGGCAGAAGGGAUGUACCCCUGCUGCCCUGCUCUCAUCCUGUCCCCUGAGGACCCAUAGGUUCCAGUUUGUCCUUUCUGUGUUGGUCUGGAGUGAUGCUGGGAUGCCCAGCUGGUGUCAUCGGACGUACAGGGCUCUCUGGGGACUUAAAUCACAGCUCUGUCCUCUGCAUGAAGAUAAAUGACAUCCUGCAGCGCAGGUGCUUUACAAAGAACAAUAAAUGGAAAGCUCUUGGCUGGGCUCAGCGAUAGGGCCAGGAUCCUCUUUCACAGAGUAUUUUAGGGCUCAAGGCACCACAGCUGUUUGUGAGAUAAUCCUUCUGCCCUCCUCCUCAACCUUGAAAAAGAACUUUGCAGUCCCACUCAAACUGGAAAUAAAUCAGGAAAUGGCACUUUGUUCCUUCCAGAAAUAGGCUGGCUCUCCAAACCCUUUGAAACAGGCACCCGAGACAAGAAUCUGCUCAGGAACUAACUUUGUUCAGCCUGUUUGCAACAAAGUCUGCUCAUAAGCAAAUGAAGGACCUAGAUGUUGGUUUCAGGGCCUGUACUUGCAGGAGUACCUUUGUGGGGGUACUACUCUGGGGCACCAGCAGCAGGUCCUCUCUGCACUGACUUCAUCACAACAACCUAUGGGUUCCCCAGUUGGUCUCCAUGGGAUGGAGCUCCAUCCUCUCACUGCAAGCGGGAGAUGAAAGCACAAAAGCAGGCUGCAGAGGUGGCAGUGCUCCCUGCCAGGGGCUGAAUGAGGA